Caenorhabditis elegans is the source of this 172-nucleotide non-coding RNA. The record is from Ensembl. NCBI's taxonomy places the organism in Eukaryota, Metazoa, Nematoda, Chromadorea, Rhabditida, Rhabditidae.
AAUUUUCCCUAAAAUUUUCCCACCUACAGUACCCCCGGAACACUUACCGUACUCCCCAAUGUUCCUCACCCCCAUUUUUUCUGUACAGUUUAUCCAAAUAUACUGCAUUUACAGUUUAUUGCGUAACUAUUGUUAAUCCGUAUGCACCUUUAAAAAUUUCUGGAUUUUUUCA